UACGUAGGGGGCAAGCGUUGUCCGGAAUUAUUGGGCGUAAAGGGCGCGCAGGCGGUCUGGCCAGUCUGAUGUGAAAGCCCCCGGCUCAACCGGGGAGGGACAUUGGAAACUGCCAGACUUGAGUGCAGGAGAGGAGAGCGGAAUUCCACGUGUAGCGGUGAAAUGCGUAGAGAUGUGGAGGAACACCAGUGGCGAAGGCGGCUCUCUGGCCUGUAACUGACGCUGAGGCGCGAAAGCGUGGGGAGCGAACAGG
RNAcentral lists this unclassified non-coding RNA (253 nucleotides) under Bacilli bacterium. RNAcentral's name for it is "contains 16S-23S intergenic spacer region". It matches the Rfam family "Bacterial small subunit ribosomal RNA", at positions 524 to 776 of the family's 1533-position model. Lineage: Bacteria; Bacillati; Bacillota; Bacilli. The record is from RNAcentral.